GCGCAGCAGGCGAGAAAACUUCACAAUGUGCGAAAGCACGAUGAGGGAAUCCCAAGUGCUUGCACGUAAGUGUAAGCUGUUUCUCUGUCUAAAACGCAGAGAGAGUAAGGGCUGGGUAAGACGGGUGCCAGCCGCCGCGGUAAUACCUGCAGCUCGAGUGGUGACCGUUAUUAUUGGGCCUAAAACGUCCGUAGCCGGUUUAAUAAAUGCCUGGGUAAAUCGGACCGCUUAACGGUUCGAAUUCCGGGUAGACUGUUAAACUUGAGACCGGGAGAAGUUAGAGGUACUCCUGGGGUAGAGGUGAAAUUCUGUAAUCCUAGGGGGACCACCAGUGGCGAAGGCGUCUAACUAGAACGGGUCCGACGGUGAGGGACGAAGCCCUGGGGC
RNAcentral lists this ribosomal RNA (387 nucleotides) under uncultured microorganism. RNAcentral describes it as "bacterial SSU rRNA". It matches the Rfam family "Archaeal small subunit ribosomal RNA", at positions 330 to 718 of the family's 1478-position model. The record is from RNAcentral.